AACGAACGCUGGCGGCAGGCUUAACACAUGCAAGUCGAACGGGCGCGAGCAAUCGCGUCAGUGGCAGACGGGUGAGUAACACGUGGGAACCUUCCUAGGGGUACGGAACAACUCAGGGAAACUUGAGCUAAUACCGUAUACGUCCGUAAGGAGAAAGAUUCAUCGCCCCUAGACGGGCCCGCGUCGGAUUAGCUAGUUGGUGGGGUAACGGGCCUACCAAGGCGACGAUCCGUAGCUGAUCUGAGAGGAUGAUCAGCCACACUGGGACUGAGACACGGCCCAGACUCCUACGGGAGGCAGCAGUGGGGAAGUCUUGGACAAUGGGCGCAAGCCUGAUCCAGCGAUGCCGCGUGUGUGAAGAAGGCCUGCGGGUUGUAAAGCACUUUCAGUAAGGGAAGGAAAAGACCGAGUGCUAAUAUCACUCGGUCUUGUACGUUAC
Molecule: ribosomal RNA, 439 nt
Filed under: uncultured bacterium
Lineage: Bacteria
Description: bacterial SSU rRNA
Rfam family: Bacterial small subunit ribosomal RNA
Source: RNAcentral